CUGAAAUUAAUAAUAGAAAAUUUAUCAAUUUGUUUUGUAUCUUAGUUUAUUGAGGAUAAGCUCAAUAAAAAUAAUAAAAUAGUAUACACCUUAUUUGAUUAGCUACAUGGGCUUGAAGUUAGCCAUUGUAUUAAAGUUUGUUACAAAAUAGUCUUUAUAUGUAGAAAGAUUAAUAUACUUUUUUUAUAGGGGUAACACGAAGAACCACGAUAUCUUGAUUCACUUAUGCUAGGAUGAGUAUUAGUAUAUAAGAUAUAUAAACAAAAACAGAAAAAUAUACAAAAUAGCUUUGCUUAGAGUAAAAUAAGAAUAAGGAAUUCAGCAAACGCUUAGCUCCGCCUGUUUAUCAAAAACAUGGCUCUUUGUUAAUCAAAUAUAAAGAGUCGGACCUGCCCAGUGAAGUUUUAACGGCCGCGGUACUCUGACCGUGCAAAGGUAGCAUAAUCAUUUGCCUUAUAAUUGAAGGCUUGUAUGAAUGGUUUGACGGGAGCAUUACUGUCUUUUUCUUACUUUAUAGAACUUGACCUCUAGGUGAAGAGGCCUAGAUACAGUUGAAAGACAAAAAGACCCUGUCGAGCUUAAAAAGGAAUCAGAAUAACUUUAUUACCCAAGAUCAAUUACUGACUAAUUUUUUUGGUUGGGGCGACCAAGGAACAAAAAAGCUUCCUCUAUUUUCUUAGCUAAUAAGCAUAGAUCCAGAAAAAGCUGAUUAAAAGAAAUAGUUACCGCAGGGAUAACAGCAUAAUCUCUCUUGAGAGACCUAAUCGAAAGAGGGGGUUGUGACCUCGAUGUUGGACUAGAAUAUCCUAAAGAUGCAGAAGUCU
This 824-nucleotide ribosomal RNA is filed under the name Tylomelania sp. ZMB 190805.2. Its description in RNAcentral is "partial 16S ribosomal RNA". It matches the Rfam family "Bacterial large subunit ribosomal RNA", at positions 1409 to 2564 of the family's 2925-position model. Lineage: Eukaryota; Metazoa; Mollusca; Gastropoda; Pachychilidae. The record is from RNAcentral.